AUUGAACGCUGGCGGAAUGCUUUACACAUGCAAGUCGAACGGCAGCACGGGUGCUUGCACCUGGUGGCGAGUGGCGAACGGGUGAGUAAUAUAUCGGAACGUAUCCAAUAAUGGGGGGUAACUAGCCCAAAGGUUAGCUAAUACCGCAUACGCCUAGAGGGGGAAGGCUGGGGAACGUAAGACCAAGCGUUGAUGGAAGGGACGAUAUCUGAUUAGCUAGUUGGUGGGGUAAGAGCCUACCAAGGCGACGAUCAGUAGCUGGUCUGAGAGGACGACCAGCCACACUGGAACUGAGACACGGUCCAGACUCCUACGGGAGGCAGCAGUGGGGAAUUUUGGAGAAUGGGGGCAACCCUGAUCCAGCCAUUCCGCGUGAGUGAUGAAGGCCUUCGGGUUAUAAAGCUCUUUCGCAAGGGAAGAAAACUCGAUCUCUAAUAUAGGUUGAGGCUGACGGUACCUUGAUAAGAAGCACCGGCUAACUACGUGCCAGCCGCCGCCGUAA
RNAcentral lists this ribosomal RNA (502 nucleotides) under uncultured bacterium. Its description in RNAcentral is "partial 16S ribosomal RNA". It matches the Rfam family "Bacterial small subunit ribosomal RNA", at positions 30 to 523 of the family's 1533-position model. The record is from RNAcentral.